Molecule: non-coding RNA, 146 nt
Organism: Gossypium hirsutum (cotton)
Lineage: Eukaryota; Viridiplantae; Streptophyta; Magnoliopsida; Malvales; Malvaceae
Source: Rfam
GGUCCGAUGCCACGUCGCCGGUAGCCAAGAGCAGUGACCGGCGAUGCUAUGAUUGGACCGAUAUAAAUUCCAUGUUUCGCUUGCUGAUAGGAACCUGUGGAUCUGAAACAGUGUGAUCUACGGAGCCGUUUUCGGCGAUUACAGUU